Molecule: transfer RNA, 73 nt
Filed under: Thermoplasmata archaeon
Lineage: Archaea; Methanobacteriati; Thermoplasmatota; Thermoplasmata
Also listed under: 1 other name
Description: tRNA-Ala
Rfam family: tRNA
About the family: Transfer RNA (tRNA) molecules are approximately 80 nucleotides in length. Their secondary structure includes four short double-helical elements and three loops (D, anti-codon, and T loops).
Source: RNAcentral
GGGCCGGUAGAUCAGCUGGUAGAUCGUUUGCUUCGCAAGCAAAAGGCCCCGGGUUCAAAUCCCGGCCGGUCCA